GCUGAAGCAGUUCAGGGCGAUGGCGUCGCCGUCGUUCAAGGACGAGGACGUCAAGGAUUUUGCCGGGAAACUCUUCUAAGAACAGAAGAAAAAAAAACAAAUUUUUGAUCACUCACUAAUCACUAGUCAUCUACCUCGUUUGAAAUGGUAGAUAAAUUUAUUUUUUUAGCAGCUCGCAUUGAGCGAAAUGUGCAUAUAGGAUUCAGGGAUUAUUCCAUUGAUUCUUUUGUAAAUGCUCAGACCGAAAUUGAUGAAC
RNAcentral lists this long non-coding RNA (256 nucleotides) under Oryza brachyantha (malo sina). RNAcentral describes it as "long non-coding RNA (OBRA_LNC000406)". Lineage: Eukaryota; Viridiplantae; Streptophyta; Magnoliopsida; Poales; Poaceae. The record is from RNAcentral.